This 303-nucleotide ribosomal RNA is filed under the name uncultured bacterium. Its description in RNAcentral is "partial 16S ribosomal RNA". It matches the Rfam family "Bacterial small subunit ribosomal RNA", at positions 507 to 807 of the family's 1533-position model. The record is from RNAcentral.
AGCAGCAGCCGCGGUAAAACAGAGGGUGCGAGCGUUAAUCGGAUUUACUGGGCGUAAAGCGUGCGUAGGCGGCUUCUUAAGUCGGAUGUGAAAUCCCUGAGCUUAACUUAGGAAUUGCAUUCGAUACUGGGAAGCUAGAGUAUGGGAGAGGAUGGUAGAAUUCCAGGUGUAGCGGUGAAAUGCGUAGAGAUCUGGAGGAAUACCGAUGGCGAAGGCAGCCAUCUGGCCUAAUACUGACGCUGAGGUACGAAAGCAUGGGGAGCAAACAGGAUUAGAUACCCCCGUAGUCCCUGUCUCUUAUAC